This 233-nucleotide ribosomal RNA is filed under the name uncultured bacterium. RNAcentral describes it as "partial 16S ribosomal RNA". It matches the Rfam family "Bacterial small subunit ribosomal RNA", at positions 103 to 334 of the family's 1533-position model. The record is from RNAcentral.
CGGGUGAGUAACGCGUGAGCAACCUUUCCUUCACAGGGGGAUAAGAUACCGAAAGGUGUUCUAAUACCGCAUGAGACCACAGAGCCACAUGGCUUAGGGGUCAAAGGAGGAAUCCGGUGAAGGGUGGGCUCGCGUCCGAUUAGCUAGUUGGUGAGGUGACGGCCCACCAAGGCGACGAUCGGUAGCCGACCUGAGAGGGUGAUCGGCCACAUUGGAACUGAGAGACGGUCCAG